AAGUCGUAACAAGGUUUCCGUAGGUGAACCUGCGGAAGGAUCAUUACCGAAUCGUCGACACGAGUUGUUGCUGGCCCUCAAACGGGGGCAUGUGCACGCUCUGUUUGCAUCCACCCACACCUGUGCACCCUCUGUAGCUCUGCGGUCCGGGGGACCCCCCUCUUCCGUCCGCGGUUCUACGUCUUACACACACACUGUAACACGGUUUUAUGGAAUGUACGCAGCGUUUAACGCAAUACAAUACAACUUUCAGCAACGGAUCUCUUGGCUCUCGCAUCGAUGAAGAACGCAGCGAAAUGCGAUAAGUAAUGUGAAUUGCAGAAUUCAGUGAAUCAUCGAAUCUUUGAACGCACCUUGCGCCCUUUGGCUAUUCCGAAGGGCAUGCCUGUUUGAGUAUCAUGAACACCUCAACUCUCACGGUUCGCCGUGACGAGCUUGGACUUUGGAGGCUUUGCUGGCCUGUGGGUCGGCUCCUCUCAAAUGAAUCAGCUUACCGGUGUAUUGGUGGCGUCACAGGUGUGAUAACUAUCUACGCUUGCGGUCGCCCGCCAGACAACCUC
This 560-nucleotide ribosomal RNA is filed under the name Tomentella sp. T1306. RNAcentral's name for it is "eukaryotic LSU rRNA". The stretch from base 245 to 399 matches the Rfam family "5.8S ribosomal RNA". The record is from RNAcentral. Lineage: Eukaryota; Fungi; Basidiomycota; Agaricomycetes; Thelephorales; Thelephoraceae.